CGCACGGGUGCGUAACACGUGGGAAUUUGCCUCGGGGUAUGGAAUAACUCAGGGAAACUUGAGGCUAAUACCAUAUAAUGUCUUCGGACCAAAGAUUUAUCGCCCUGAGAUAAGCCCGCGUAGGAUUAGCUAGUUGGUGGGGUAAAAGGGCUUCACCAAGGCGACGAUCCUUAGCUGGUCUGAGAGGAUGAUCAGCCACACUGGGACUGAGACACGGCCCAGACUCCUACGGGAGGCAGCAGUGGGGGAAUAUUGGACAAUGGGCGAAAGCCUGAUCCAGCAAUGCCGCGUGAGUGAUGAAGGCCUUCGGGUUGUAAAGCUCUUUACUCGGGACGAUAAUGACGGUACCGAGAGAAUAAGCCCGGCUAACUCCGUG
RNAcentral lists this ribosomal RNA (376 nucleotides) under uncultured bacterium. RNAcentral describes it as "bacterial SSU rRNA". It matches the Rfam family "Bacterial small subunit ribosomal RNA", at positions 99 to 507 of the family's 1533-position model. The record is from RNAcentral.